This 1125-nucleotide long non-coding RNA is filed under the name Nicotiana benthamiana. RNAcentral's name for it is "long non-coding RNA (NBEN_LNC024524)". Lineage: Eukaryota; Viridiplantae; Streptophyta; Magnoliopsida; Solanales; Solanaceae. The record is from RNAcentral.
GCAAAUUUUAGUGUUCCUAAUUGCUGUCCAUGCGUAUGUUGAAUGUCUCGGUGAUUCUCAUCGUCAAAGUUCUCCGGGCAUGAGGACUGGGUUCUAUAUGUACCAUCUAUUCAAGCUUUAACAUAGUGCAGCAUAAUGACCGCAAGGUAAACCAAGCAAUAGACAAGGAUUGAAAAGAUGGUGAUUUUCUGCUAUUGUUGUUACUGAACAUUUAAUUUGGUUAGACAUUCUAAAGCUUUACUGCUUUUUCAUAAGGUUAAUCCUAAAAUUUUCUGCGAUUUGCUGUCAAUUCUAUGCAAAUAGCCUCUCGUCUAGUUCCAGUUCUCUGAGUGCCCAUUUUCUUUUGAAGUUCUGUGUUUUUCUUAGCAUUUGUAGUUUAAUCCAAUUCAUGGUACUGGCCCAUCUUCCUUUGACUUUUUCAUUGUCACGUCUAUAUUCAGAGACGGUGGCAGAAUUUCAAGUUUAUGGGUUAUGGGUUCUGCAUUCGCAAUCCAACCCAUAGCUUGUUAGUUACUGGGUUCGCAAUUAAGUAUUUAUACAUAUUUAAUAGAUUUUCUAAUACAAAUAUAAUGUCUAAACAAAAAGCUACUGGGUUCGUUUGAACCCGUAGGUAACACUCUCCCUCCGCCCCAGUCUCUAUUAGAUGUAAACACAUCGUAGCUCUAACUAAUUCAGAGGUUUUUAUAUGGCAAUAGCUACUCUGUUAUAAUGAAAGUAUUUGUGCUAAUUGCUAAAUAUCAAGGUGCAAAUUAAAAAAUAUUGUAAUAGCAUUCAAUUAGUGAUACAACAAAUUUGUUAUUUGCAAAGCAAUCAAAACAUCUGAAGGCCACGACUGCUCCAACUUUUAGAAAGUAAUGCUAUUGACAAUUAUCUCUGCUAAGAUCCCUCCCCUCUUACCCUCUUCUUAUUUUUGGCAUUUGAAGAACACUGAACUCCUACAGCUGGGCUUCUGACGGUGUGUUGUCAUUUUUGUCUCUCUGGCCAUCAGGCUCUGUUGAUCUGUACUUGUAGCGGGUAGCCCAGAGGAGAUAAUGUAGGAAAUUUAUUCCACUUAAUAUGCACAUCAACCAAUAAAACCUUUCAAGGUGAUAAUGAUUCAAAUUACUCCCGUAAAGCCAUGGCGUU